RNAcentral lists this unclassified non-coding RNA (280 nucleotides) under Hevea brasiliensis (rubber tree). Lineage: Eukaryota; Viridiplantae; Streptophyta; Magnoliopsida; Malpighiales; Euphorbiaceae. The record is from RNAcentral.
AACAGUUGUAAGACAAAUUCAGUGCCUCCAGGCCCCGCAGCAACCCUGUUAUCCCUGCUGGCACCUCGCCUGACAGCGCAUUGUGCGAGAGGUCCAGCCUCCGCAGCCGCCCCAUUCUCUCCAAGCUAGCCGGAAUCCGCCCGGCGAGAUAAUUAUACGACAAAUUCAGAUAUUCCAGCCCUCCUAACCCGACCAAUCCAUCCGGGAUCUCGCCGCUCAGCUCAUUCCCAGACAUGUCAAUCCCCACCACUGACCGGAGCUCGUACCCGAACUCCAGCUG